This 77-nucleotide transfer RNA is filed under the name Gammaproteobacteria bacterium. RNAcentral describes it as "tRNA-Asn". It matches the Rfam family "tRNA". Rfam says of the family: Transfer RNA (tRNA) molecules are approximately 80 nucleotides in length. Their secondary structure includes four short double-helical elements and three loops (D, anti-codon, and T loops). Lineage: Bacteria; Pseudomonadati; Pseudomonadota; Gammaproteobacteria. The record is from RNAcentral. RNAcentral also lists the same sequence under 2 other names.
UCCUCGGUAGCUCAGUUGGUAGUAGCGAGCGACUGUUAAUCGCUAGGGCGUCGGUUCGAGUCCGACCCGGGGAGCCA